Molecule: transfer RNA, 58 nt
Filed under: Corallina officinalis
Lineage: Eukaryota; Rhodophyta; Florideophyceae; Corallinales; Corallinaceae
Description: tRNA-Tyr
Source: RNAcentral
GUUAAAUCAUUUAAAGCACGAAAAAAACUUGUAAUUGCAAAUAACGAAUCAUUUAACC